This 257-nucleotide long non-coding RNA is filed under the name Actinidia chinensis (golden kiwifruit). RNAcentral describes it as "long non-coding RNA (ACHI_LNC006772)". The record is from RNAcentral. Lineage: Eukaryota; Viridiplantae; Streptophyta; Magnoliopsida; Ericales; Actinidiaceae.
GCCGACCUCGCCCACCUCACCUAGCCUUUCUGGCUAUUUCUGGUGCCAGGGUUAUUUGCAGGCUCACCCAGUCCGUACCAUUCAAUACCAUGGCACUUCAGCCAAUACACAUCAUGAUUUCAACAAAUAUCAUGAAUUUCAAUAGAUAUCAACAGAUAGCACACAUGCUCAAAGGGAGUACAAAAUCAGAUAAUUGAAGAAAUAACUCCGGAGAUUUAGAAAGCAUAUUGUAUAACUCCUGCUUACCUCAAAUUGAA